Frankliniella occidentalis (western flower thrips) is the source of this 505-nucleotide long non-coding RNA. RefSeq lists it as uncharacterized. The transcript is spliced from 3 exons. The record is from RefSeq and is a predicted model, not a curated record. Lineage: Eukaryota; Metazoa; Arthropoda; Insecta; Thysanoptera; Thripidae.
AACUGGCGGAGGAUGGACAACCCGUUACAUCUCCCCCCUGCUGGGAGAAAGAUUGUAGUUCACAAUUUUUACUGAAGACACCUCUUCAAUUGCUCAAUGUGCCAAGGGCCAUCAUCAUUCCCAUCUUCAUCACUUAAAAGGUAAGAGACUCGUCCAACUCUUGAUUUUAUUUUGAAUGGCCCAAUCUACUUGUCUGCUAACUUCUUUGUGAAAAACUUUGCUUUAUCAGACUUUACAUAGUUACGCCUCCAGACCAGACAACUAGUCGUUAGGUGAGCGUCUCUACGCCAUUUUUCUUGAGGAUCGGCUACUUCUGGAUCUUCUUCAUCGGGAUUGAACAACCGCUCACGACCAUCAAGAACAAUGUCGUGGCCGUACAAGACUCUGCAAGGCGAAUGACCAGUAACAUGGCUGACAGAAGAGUUUAUGGCACACUGAAUUUCAGAUGUUUGGUGACUGCAGCAGCAGUAGCUUCACGGAGAGGACGCAAGAAGACGAGAAAACA